Molecule: ribosomal RNA, 446 nt
Filed under: uncultured Lachnospiraceae bacterium
Lineage: Bacteria; Bacillati; Bacillota; Clostridia; Lachnospirales; Lachnospiraceae
Description: bacterial SSU rRNA
Rfam family: Bacterial small subunit ribosomal RNA
Source: RNAcentral
CUAAGAAUCUUCCACAAUGGACGGAAGUCUGAUGGAGCGACGCCGCGUGGACGAUGAAGGCCGUGAGGUUGUAAAGUCCUUUUCGGGAGGGGGAAUAACCUGGGGAGGGAAUGCCCCGGGGAUGACGUGAAUCCCGGAAUAAGCCCCGGCUAACUACGUGCCAGCAGCCGCGGUAAUACGUAGGGGCGAGCGUUAUCCGGAUUUACUGGGUGUAAAGGGAGCGCAGACGGAAGAGCAAGUCUGAUGUGAAAACCCGGGGCUCAACCCCGGGCCUGCAUUGGAAACUGUCAGACUAGAGUGUCGGAGAGGUAAGUGGAAUUCCUAGUGUAGCGGUGAAAUGCGUAGAUAUUAGGAGGAACACCAGUGGCGAAGGCGGCUUACUGGACGAUAACUGACGCUGAGGCUCGAAAGCGUGGGGAGCAAACAGGAUUAGAUACCCUGGUAGU